This 466-nucleotide ribosomal RNA is filed under the name uncultured bacterium. RNAcentral describes it as "partial 16S ribosomal RNA". It matches the Rfam family "Bacterial small subunit ribosomal RNA", at positions 28 to 507 of the family's 1533-position model. The record is from RNAcentral.
GACGAACGCUGGCGGCGCGCCUAACACAUGCAAGUCGAACGAGCGAGAGAGAGCUUGCUUUCUCGAGCGAGUGGCGAACGGGUGAGUAACGCGUGAGGAACCUGCCUCAAAGAGGGGGACAACAGUUGGAAACGACUGCUAAUACCGCAUAAGCCCACGACCCGGCAUCGGGUAGAGGGAAAAGGAGCAAUCCGCUUUGAGAUGGCCUCGCGUCCGAUUAGCUAGUUGGUGAGGUAACGGCCCACCAAGGCGACGAUCGGUAGCCGGACUGAGAGGUUGAACGGCCACAUUGGGACUGAGACACGGCCCAGACUCCUACGGGAAGCAGCAGUGGGGAAUAUUGCACAAUGGGGGAAACCCUGAUGCAGCGACGCCGCGUGGAGGAAGAAGGUCUUCGGAUUGUAAACUCCUGUUGUUGAGGAAGAUAAUGACGGUACUCAACAAGGAAGUGACGGCUAACUACGUG